Molecule: ribosomal RNA, 292 nt
Filed under: uncultured bacterium
Lineage: Bacteria
Description: partial 16S ribosomal RNA
Rfam family: Bacterial small subunit ribosomal RNA
Source: RNAcentral
GUGCCAGCCGCCGCGGUAAGACGUAGGUGGCGAGCGUUAUCCGGAUUUACUGGGCGUAAAGCGCGUGCAGGCGGUUCGGUAAGUCGGGCGUGAAAUCUCCUGGCUCAACUGGGAGGGGUCGUCCGAAACUACCGGACUUGAGGGCAGUAGAGGGAGGUGGAAUUCCGGGUGUAGUGGUGAAAUGCGUAGAUAUCCGGAGGAACACCGGUGGCGAAAGCGGCCUCCUGGGCUGCCCCUGACGCUCAGACGCGAAAGCUAGGGGAGCGAACGGGAUUAGAUACCCCCGUAGUCC